This 74-nucleotide transfer RNA is filed under the name Nanobdellota archaeon. RNAcentral's name for it is "tRNA-Val". It matches the Rfam family "tRNA". Rfam says of the family: Transfer RNA (tRNA) molecules are approximately 80 nucleotides in length. Their secondary structure includes four short double-helical elements and three loops (D, anti-codon, and T loops). Further hydrogen bonds mediate the characteristic L-shaped molecular structure. tRNAs have two regions of fundamental functional importance: the anti-codon, which is responsible for specific mRNA codon recognition, and the 3' end, to which the tRNAs corresponding amino acid is attached (by aminoacyl-tRNA synthetases). tRNAs cope with the degeneracy of the genetic code in two manners: having more than one tRNA (with a specific anti-codon) for a particular amino acid; and 'wobble' base-pairing, i.e. permitting non-standard base-pairing at the 3rd anti-codon position. Lineage: Archaea; Nanobdellati; Nanobdellota. The record is from RNAcentral.
GGGCGGCUAGCUCAGCUGGUUAGAGCACUUCGUUUACACCGAAGGGGUCCGGGGUUCGAAUCCUCGGCCGCCCA